This 910-nucleotide ribosomal RNA is filed under the name uncultured bacterium. Its description in RNAcentral is "bacterial SSU rRNA". It matches the Rfam family "Bacterial small subunit ribosomal RNA", at positions 61 to 1020 of the family's 1533-position model. The record is from RNAcentral.
GUCUAGGGGGUAGCAAUACCACCGGCGGACGGGUGCGUAACGCGUGGGAAUGUACCUAUUGGUUCGGAACAACCCAGGGAAACUUGGGCUAAUACCGAAUGUGCCCGUAAGAGGAAAGAUUUAUCGCCAAUAGAUCAGCCCGCGUAGGAUUAGCUAGUUGGUGGGGUAAUGGCCCACCAAGGCUCCGAUCCUUAGCUGUUCUGAGAGGAAGGUCAGCCACACUGGGACUGAGAUACGGCCCAGACUCCUACGGGAGGCAGCAGUUGGGAAUCUUGGACAAUGGGCGAAAGCCUGAUCCAGCCAUGCCGCGUGAGUGAUGAAGGCCUUCGGGUUGUAAAACUCUUUCGACGGGGACGAUAAUGACGGUACCCGUAGAAUAAGCUCCGGCUAACUUCGUGCCAGCAGCCGCGGUAAUACGAAGGGGGCUAGCGUUGUUCGGAAUUACUGGGCGUAAAGCGCGCGCAGGCGGUUUUCCAAGUCAGUGGUGAAAGCCCGGAGCUCAACUCCGGAACUGCCAUUGAAACUGUUAAACUUGAGGACGAGAGAGGUGAGUGGAAUUCCCAGUGUAGAGGUGAAAUUCGUAGAUAUUGGGAAGAACACCAGUGGCGAAGGCGGCUCACUGGCUCGUUUCUGACGCUCAGGCGCGAUAGCGUGGGGAUCAAACAGGAUUAGAUACCCUGGUAGUCCACGCCGUAAACGAUGAAUGCUAGCCGUUGGGUAGCUUGCUAUUCAGUGGCGCAGCUAACGCAUUAAGCAUUCCGCCUGGGGAGUACGGCCGCAAGGUUGAAACUCAAAGGAAUUGACGGGGGCCCGCACAAGCGGUGGAGCAUGUGGUUUAAUUCGACGCAACGCGCAGAACCUUACCAGGGUUUGACAUCCUGCGACCGCUCCCUAACAGGAGUUUUCCCGC